UUAGCUCAAUGUAACUCUAUUAUCAGUAGUGGCCUGGGAGCCAGAUCUCACGUCAGCGGCCCAGAGCUGGUGUCCUUGUCGUGCCUAAAAAUAUAAGCUCACAUGUGCCAUGCUGUGCACCUAGUGAAGCAGCCCCAUCAGAAUACAUGGAUACCUGGUGCAUUAGCGACCUGGGGUGAGUCAGCAGCCGCCUGUGAGGCCAUCAGUGAGGAACAGCGUGUACCAGAGCCUGCAGAAAGAAAUGUUCCUGUAGCUACGCGCUGAUGGGGCACAUCCCAGCAGCCUUGUGAUGCUUAGGAACAGUAGACAACAUGUCAGCAUUGUAUUUGGGGGCCAUUUUAAACAGUGAAAUUAACAAAAGUCACAAAAUACAAAAAACCUGGCACGAAAUAUAUACUUUACAGUAUGAGAGCUGCAAACAAGAAGGCAGAGUGUAGCCUUGUUUUACCUCAGCUGGGCGUGUGUGUGAUGUGGCAACUCAAACUUUCUGCUGCUCUGCACAUGGCCACAUCCACAAAUGACCUCCAAAACACUGGUUUUUCAACAUUGGCACUAUUUAAUUUUGGGUUGCAUAAUUCUUUGUUGUGGAGUGUUGUCCUCUGUAUUGUAGGACAUUUAACAGCAUCUCUGCAUCCCUGGACUCUAUCAAGACAUACAUUCCCCAGAUGCAACAAACAAAUACGUCUCCAGACAUUGCCAAAUGUCCCUGAGGGGCAAUUGUGCAAAUUAGCACCGCAUGCUAAUUCUGUCAAUUGCUGUGCCAAUAUCAAGUGGACAUUGUACCUUUUUAAAAUGUCUUUUAUCUGAUAGGGUAAGUCUCUCCUUUCUUUUCCUUUUAAAAA
Molecule: long non-coding RNA, 842 nt
Organism: Suricata suricatta (meerkat)
Lineage: Eukaryota; Metazoa; Chordata; Mammalia; Carnivora; Herpestidae
Exons: 3
Source: RefSeq, a predicted model, not a curated record